CCUACGUGGGUCAGCAGUGAGGAAUAUUGGUCAAUGGGCGGAAGCCUGAACCAGCCAAGUAGCGUGCGGGAUGAAGGCCCUACGGGUCGUAAACCGCUUUUGCACGGGGAUAACACCCUCCACUUGUGGAGGUCUGCAGGUACCGUGCGAAUAAGGGCCGGCUAAUUCCGUGCCAGCAGCCGCGGUAAUACGGAAGGCCCGAGCGUUAUCCGGAUUUAUUGGGCUUAAAGGGAGCGUAGGCGGGCGUUCAAGUCAGCUGUAAAAUCGCGCGGCUCAACCGCGCCCCGCAGUUGAAACUGGACGCCUUGAGUUCACAACAGGCAGGCGGAAUUCGUGGUGUAGCGGUGAAAUGCAUAGAUAUCACGCGGAACCCCGAUUGCGAAGGCAGCCUGCCGGGGUGCGACUGACGCUGAGGCUCGAAGGUGCGGGUAUCAAACAGGAUUAGAUACCCCAGUAGUC
Molecule: ribosomal RNA, 459 nt
Filed under: uncultured bacterium
Lineage: Bacteria
Description: partial 16S ribosomal RNA
Rfam family: Bacterial small subunit ribosomal RNA
Source: RNAcentral